RNAcentral lists this ribosomal RNA (476 nucleotides) under Hexanchus nakamurai (bigeye sixgill shark). RNAcentral's name for it is "partial 12S ribosomal RNA". It matches the Rfam family "Bacterial small subunit ribosomal RNA", at positions 853 to 1522 of the family's 1533-position model. The record is from RNAcentral. Lineage: Eukaryota; Metazoa; Chordata; Chondrichthyes; Hexanchiformes; Hexanchidae.
UAAUUUACUUUAUUAUCCGCCAGAACACUACAAGCGCUAGCUUAAAAUCCAAAGGACUUGGCGGUGCUUCAGACCCACCUAGAGGAGCCUGUUCUAUAACCGAUAAUCCCCGUUAAACCCCACCACCUCUUGCCAUUACCGCCUAUAUACCACCGUCGUCAGCUCACCCUAUGAAGGAUUAAAAAGUAAGCAAAAAGAAUUAAACUCCCACACGUCAGGUCGAGGUGUAGCGAAUGAGAUGGAAAGAAAUGGGCUACAUUUUCUACUAAGAAAACACGGACAGUAAACUGAAAAAUACUCCAAGGGGGAUUUAGCAGAAGAAGAAAUAAGAAUAUUCUUCUGAAGCUGGCUCUGAAGCGCGCACACACCGCCCGUCACUCUCCUCGCCAUAAAUAUCAUCAUUAUAUAAAAAAAUUUUUUUAAAAGAGGAGGCAAGUCGUAACAUGGUAAGUGUACUGGAAAGUGCACUUGGAAUC